UUAGCUUCAUCUCUGCACGAUACAUGCGUCCUUUUAAUGUGACAAUACAACAUGCCGAAUCACAUGGACAAAUUACAAGACAUUGUACAGCCUUCAUUUUUACACAUUUCGGCCAUGAGGAAAAGCUAAGCUUCGGUAACUAGAUAGGUUUCGAAGCCAUCCAGCAUAAAUUACAAAGCAUUUAUGCUUUCUGAGUUAACUUUGACAGGGAUACAGCGAGGCUUAUUUAAUCUAGACGAGCCCAUUCCAGUUCUAACUCCAUCUCACCUGAUUCUACGUUCUGCAGCUUUAGGUAAACUUCCUGUUUUACCUUUCCCGACGAAAUAUUGACAAUGCUGUCGCUCAACAGGCAAUUGUCUCUGGUCAUGAACCACCUUCCAAUUUGCAUGUCCGCGUGACGCGACGGGUCUCCAAAG
RNAcentral lists this long non-coding RNA (416 nucleotides) under Triticum aestivum (bread wheat). RNAcentral's name for it is "long non-coding RNA (TAES_LNC013570)". Lineage: Eukaryota; Viridiplantae; Streptophyta; Magnoliopsida; Poales; Poaceae. The record is from RNAcentral.